GUGGGGAAUAUUGCACAAUGGGCGCAAGCCUGAUGCAGCAACGCCGCGUGAGGGAUGACGGCCUUCGGGUUGUAAACCUCUUUUAGUAGGGAAGAAGCGAAAGUGACGGUACCUGCAGAAAAAGCACCGGCUAACUACGUGCCAGCAGCCGCGGUAAUACGUAGGGUGCAAGCGUUGUCCGGAAUUAUUGGGCGUAAAGAGCUCGUAGGCGGCUUGUCGCGUCUGCUGUGAAAACCCGAGGCUCAACCUCGGGCCUGCAGUGGGUACGGGCAGGCUAGAGUGCGGUAGGGGAGAUUGGAAUUCCUGGUGUAGCGGUGGAAUGCGCAGAUAUCAGGAGGAACACCGAUGGCGAAGGCAGAUCUCUGGGCCGUAACUGACGCUGAGGAGCGAAAGCAUGGGGAGCGAACAGGAUUAGAUACCCUAGUAGUCC
RNAcentral lists this ribosomal RNA (430 nucleotides) under uncultured bacterium. RNAcentral's name for it is "partial 16S ribosomal RNA". It matches the Rfam family "Bacterial small subunit ribosomal RNA", at positions 354 to 796 of the family's 1533-position model. The record is from RNAcentral.